AGAGUUUGAUCCUGGCUCAGGACGAACGCUGGCGGCGUGCUUAACACAUGCAAGUCGAACGGAAAGGCCCUUCGGGGUACUCGAGUGGCGAACGGGUGAGUAACACGUGGGUGAUCUGCCCUGCACUUUGGGAUAAGCCUGGGAAACUGGGUCUAAUACCGAAUAUGACCAUGCGCCUCCUGGUGUGUGGUGGAAAGCUUUUGCGGUGUGGGAUGGGCCCGCGGCCUAUCAGCUUGUUGGUGGGGUAAUGGCCUACCAAGGCGACGACGGGUAGCCGGCCUGAGAGGGUGACCGGCCACACUGGGACUGAGAUACGGCCCAGACUCCUACGGGAGGCAGCAGUGGGGAAUAUUGCACAAUGGGCGCAAGCCUGAUGCAGCGACGCCGCGUGAGGGAUGACGGCCUUCGGGUUGCAAACCUCUUUCAGCACAGACGAAGCGCAAGUGACGGUAUGUGCAGAAGAAGGACCGGCCAACUACGUGCCAGCAGCCGCGGUAAUACGUAGGGUCCGAGCGUUGUCCGGAAUUACUGGGCGUAAAGAGCUCGUAGGUGGUUUGUCGCGUUGUUCGUGAAAACUCACAGCUUAACUGUGGGCGUGCGGGCGAUACGGGCAGACUUGAGUACUGCAGGGGAGACUGGAAUUCCUGGUGUAGCGGUGGAAUGCGCAGAUAUCAGGAGGAACACCGGUGGCGAAGGCGGGUCUCUGGGCAGUAACUGACGCUGAGGAGCGAAAGCGUGGGGAGCGAACAGGAUUAGAUACCCUGGUAGUCC
RNAcentral lists this ribosomal RNA (771 nucleotides) under uncultured bacterium. Its description in RNAcentral is "bacterial SSU rRNA". It matches the Rfam family "Bacterial small subunit ribosomal RNA", at positions 8 to 796 of the family's 1533-position model. The record is from RNAcentral.